RNAcentral lists this unclassified non-coding RNA (1438 nucleotides) under uncultured Neocallimastigales. RNAcentral's name for it is "partial contains small subunit ribosomal RNA, internal transcribed spacer 1, 5.8S ribosomal RNA, internal transcribed spacer 2, and large subunit ribosomal RNA". The stretch from base 659 to 1438 matches the Rfam family "Eukaryotic large subunit ribosomal RNA", at positions 1 to 630 of the family's 3401-position model. The record is from RNAcentral. Lineage: Eukaryota; Fungi; Neocallimastigomycota; Neocallimastigomycetes; Neocallimastigales.
UUUCCGUAGGUGAACCUGCGGAAGGAUCAUUAAAAAAUUGGACUCCAUUGGUGAGUUCAUUAAUAAUCCCUACCCUUUGUGAAUUUGUUUGUUUGAAUAAUUUUUUUUCCAAAAAAAAUUAUUGAAUGUCUUUCCUUGUUUUGGUGGAGCUUGUAAAGUGAAACCAGGCAGGGGAAUGGCAAACAAUAAUUAUUUUUGAAAAGACCUUUUUUUAAAAUUAAACUUUUUGUAUUCAUUUGUCUAAAAUUAAUUUUUAUAAUAUAAAAACAACUUUUGACAAUGGAUCUCUUGGUUCUCGCAACGAUGAAGAACGCAGCAAAAUGCGAUAAGUAGUGUGAAUUGCAGAAUACGUGAAUCAUCGAAUCUUCGAACGCAUAUUGCACUUUUUUAGUUUACUAAAAAAGUAUGUCUGUUUGAGUAUCAGUAAAAUAUUCUCAUAAAAAACAUUGUUUUUUUAUGGUUAUGAGUGUUUUACAACGAUAACAAGUUGUUUCACUUUAAAUUCUUUGUUAUCAAAAAAUCAUUAAAAGCUAAUUUUAAAGAUUUUUUAAAAUUGGAUAAAAUUUUCCCGUAAAAAGGAAUAACCUAAACAAUUUUAAAAAAUUAAAAUUGGUUUGAUUUUUUUUGAAACCCAAAGGAAAAAAAAACGAAAUUAACUUGAUCUCAAAUCAGAUAAGAGUACCCGCUGAACUUAAGCAUAUCAAUAAGCGGAGGAAAAGAAACUAACUAGGAUUCCCUCAGUAACGGCGAGUGAAGCGGGAAGAGCUCAAAUUUGAAAUCUUCAAGGUUUUACCUUGACGAAUUGUAGUUUAAAGAAGUGUUUUCUGUUGGAGUUUUGGUAAAAGUUCUUUGGAAAAGGACAUCAUAGAGGGUGAGAAUCCCGUAUUUGACCAUUAUCUCCAGCUUUGUGAUACACUUUCAAAGAGUCGGAUUGUUUGGGAAUGCAGUCCAAAAUGGGUGGUAAAUUUCAUCUAAAGCUAAAUACUGGCGAGAGACCGAUAGCGAACAAGUACCGUGAGGGAAAGAUGAAAAGAACUUUGAAAAGAGAGUUAAACAGUACGUGAAAUUGUCAAAAGGGAAGCGUUUGACACCAGUGUUGUUUUCUCGAAAAUCAAUUAAAAAAGGCCGGAUUUUGUGUUGUAUUGACUUUAACAGCUUUCUGCACUCUUUUCUUGUCUUUUUUAAUGCACUUUUCGUUUAACAAGUCAACAUCAAUUUCUUUUGUUGUAAAAGGGUCAUUGGAAGGUGGCUUUCUUUUCGGAGAAAGUGUUUAUAGCCUUUGGCCUCUGCAAUCGGAGAGAUUGAGGUCUGCAGCGUAGAUCCUUCGGGGUUAGAUACAUUUGUGCUAAGUUAUAGCCUUUCAUAGACAACUUGUUGACUAUGAUCAGUCAUGUAGCUUACUCGCUUAUGCUACUUUACCUACACUUAGGAUGUUGAG